This 96-nucleotide ribosomal RNA is filed under the name uncultured bacterium. Its description in RNAcentral is "partial 16S ribosomal RNA". It matches the Rfam family "Bacterial small subunit ribosomal RNA", at positions 395 to 508 of the family's 1533-position model. The record is from RNAcentral.
CGCCGCGUGGAGGAUGAAAUAUCUUGGUGUGUAAACUCCUUUCGAUGGGGAAGAUUAUGACGGUACCCAUAGAAGAAGCCCCGGCUAACUUCGUGC